AGCAGCCGCGGUAAUUCCAGCUCCAAUAGCGUAUAUUAAAGUUGCUGCAGUUAAAAAGCUCGUAGUUGAAUUUCGGGACCAAUAUGUCGGUCGUGCCUCGGUACGUACUGGCAUCGUUGGUUUCUCCUUUCUGAAGAACCAUGAUGUCAUUUAUUUGGUGUCGUGGGGAAUCAGGACUGUUACUUUGAAAAAAAUUAGNGUGUUUAAAGCAGGCUCACGCUUGAAUACAUUAGCAUGGAAUAAUGAAAUAGGACGUUUGAUUCUAUUUUGUUGGUUUCUAGGAUCGACGUAAUGAUUAAUAGGGAUAGUUGGGGGCAUUAGUAUUCAAUUGUCAGAGGUGAAAUUCUUGGAUUUAUUGAAGACUAACUACUGCGAAAGCAUUUGCCAAGGAUGUUUUCAUUAAUCAAGAACGAAAGUUAGGGGAUCGAAGACGAUCAGAUACCGUCGUAGUCUUAACCAUAAACUAUGCCGACUAGGAAUCAGACGAUGUUAAUUUUUUAAUGACUCGUUUGGUCACCUU
This 520-nucleotide unclassified non-coding RNA is filed under the name uncultured Glomus. RNAcentral describes it as "SSU rRNA". It matches the Rfam family "Eukaryotic small subunit ribosomal RNA", at positions 569 to 1089 of the family's 1831-position model. Lineage: Eukaryota; Fungi; Glomeromycota; Glomeromycetes; Glomerales; Glomeraceae. The record is from RNAcentral.